Long non-coding RNA from Ictalurus punctatus (channel catfish), 3257 nucleotides. The record is from Ensembl. Lineage: Eukaryota; Metazoa; Chordata; Actinopteri; Siluriformes; Ictaluridae.
GUAAGAUUUAAAUAAGCGCUCAUUUAAACAUGAAUGUUAAUCCAAAUGUUAAUGAAAAUGUUAGGAUCAUAGUCCUCAGUAAGUGCAGCAGUUCUUGAAACAUUCAUGAACGUGGUUAAGAAAAUUAUCGCCUCAGAUCAGGACCUUGAAACAUAGCUGGGAUUUUUUGCCUUCAAAAUGCGGCAGGGUUUAUCUCAAGAGCUGACAGUGACUAUUUUGAAGUAACAGUAUUGUAUGUUAAAUGUAGAACUAAUGAUCUGAUUAUGCUUCGGUGCUUCAGAGUUUGGGGAUUCGACCAGCUUUGCUUAAAUUUAGACAGUACUGAGGUUGAUGUUACGAUACAUCAUGAACAGAGAAAUGUAGACGUGAGAGAAAAAGACAGAUAAACGGAGAGAAAGCACCGGUGCGUCAUAUGUUUUGCUAUGUGAGUCAUCACAAAAAGCUCAACGAUGAGCAGCCCCACCCUUCUCUACCAAUCAGAUACGUCAAGCACAAGGAGCCUUCAGGGCUUUCGUGUACACAAGCCAUCAGUCUUGAAGUGUGUGUGUGUUUUAAAAGAGAUUUUUUUUUUUUAAAUCCCACCAAGACGAGACAAUUUUGGAAGGUGUACAUUGUGAAAGUCUGGUGCACUUAAUGGACUGUUUGGCGUACGUGCCAGCAUUAAAGGUUCCAUCUUCAUUGCUCCUCGUGAGAAAUCCUCAUACUCUACAACAGAUGGGGUUUCCCUUUUAAUAGAUGGUUCCAAGCAGAAGCUCUUUUUUAAAUCUAAGAACUCGUAACUAUACAAUAACCUUAAACAGGAUUUUCUUUUUUACAUGACUGUAGGCAUGGGACCAGGUCCGAUGGAGAGACCUCAUCACAUGAAACAUUUAGCACUGGGUGGAAAAACAAAUCACACUGUAAAACUGUAAACGCGGGCAUACGGAGAGAUUCAACUGUAGCCGAACCUACAGUCGUUAUUCCACCCUCUAUAGAGAUGCUGAAUAUCCCACAAACAGUUACGUAAUGUUUGUGAAAGGGCACCAAGCCAGAACUGCUGGAGACAGACAACUUAUUGACUUGUGCUGGGUGACUAAUGUCAUGACGUCACGUGAGAAAUUGAGCUCCAAUUAUUAUCGAGGAAAUAAGGGCAUGUUGGCAAGUGUUCAUGGAAACACCAAACCAGUCAAAUGGUGAUAAGGCGGGACUGCAUGUACAGUUGUUGGAGCCCAGAAAAAGAUAAACAUGAUUUGAGUGCUUCUAAGACCUACAUUAUAUUGUUCUUCAUGGUUUAGGUCAUUUUAUGACUUGUGCAUGGUCUCAGAACCAUGUUUAUCAGUUUGGAAAAGUGUUUUUCUUUUGAAAAGGAUUUCGAUCUAGAUAGUGAGUUGAGUAUACAGGUGCAUCUCAAAUAUCGUUUUUCUAUAAUUUAAUUCAAAAAGUGGAACUUUCAUAUAUUAUAGAUUCAUUACACAUGAAGUGAAAUAUUUCAAGCCUUUUUUGUUUUAAUCUUGAUGAUUACGGCUUACAGCUCACAGAAAUAAAAAAAUCCAGUAUCUCAAAAUAUUCGAAUAAAGAAUUUAUAAUACAGAAAUGUCGACCUGAGAAGAGCUCUAAUCAGCUAAUUAACUCAAAACACCUGCAACGGUUUCCUGAGCCUUUAAAAAGAACUGGACCGUUGCUUGGUGGUCCAAAGUCCUCUUUUCAGAUGAAAGUAAAUGUUGCGUUUCAUUUGGAAAUCAAGGUCCCAGAGUCUGGAGUAAGAGUGGAGAGACACAGAAUCCAAGUAGCUUGAAGUCCAGUGUGAAGUUUCCACAGUCAGUGAUGAUUUGAGGUGCCAUGUCAUCUGCUGGUGUUGGUCCACUGUGUUUUCUCAAGUCGAGAGUCAAUGCAGCCGUCAAUCAGGAGAUUUUAGAGCAGUUCAUGCUUCCAUCUGCUGACGAACUUUAUGGAGAUGCUGGUUUCCUUUUCCAGCAGGACUUGGCCUGUUUCUGCCCACAGUGCCAAAACUACUAGUAACUGAUUUGCUGACCAUGGUGUUACUGUGCUUGAUUGGCCAGACAACUCGCCUGACCCGAACCCCAUAGAGAAUCUAUGAGAGACACCAGAUCCAACAAUACAGAGGAGCUGAAGGCCGCUAUCAAAGCAACCUGGGCUUCCCGAACACCUCAGCAGUGCCACAGGCUGAUUGCCUCCAUGCCACGUCACACUGAUGCAGUAAUUCCUGCAAAAGGAUUAAAGCCCCGACCGAGUAUUGCGUGCACAAAUUAACAUACUUUUCAGAAGGUUGACAUUUCUGUAUUAUAAAUUCUUUAUUCUCAUAUUUUGAGAUACUGGAUUUUUGAUUUCUGUGAGCUGUAAGCCGUGAUCAUCAAGAUUAAAUCAAAAACAGGCUUGAAAUAUUUUACUUUAUGUGUAAUGAAUCUAGAAUAUAUGAAAGUUCCACCUUUUGAAUUAAAUUACAGAAAAAAUGAAUUUUUCCACGAUAAUCAAAUUUUUUCAGCUACACAUGUACCAUCAAACAAGGCAGUCUCUUUCUCAGGUCCAAGGUAACAUAUAAUUAUGCAUCAAGUUAGGAAUAAAACACUGGGGGGGAGUGGGGUCGAAUGAUCAUCGACGGGGUAGUGUGAUGAAGCUUAAUGCGAAAGUCUUAACAACACCCAGAACAACAUAUCCUGAAGUUCUUUAAUCCUCUGUCACAAGUUUGUUCCUGUUAUUACUUACGAACAGUUCUUCCCUCACUAGCCUUUGUCCUGAAGACUUUUCUAUGAUGGAAAACUUGCCGACUGUUAUAAAGCGCUGACACUGGAGACGUUACAUAAAAGUCUCGCAGAAGAACAUCACCAUGUCCACAAUAACAAGUCAGGAUCGAGAAUUCAACAACGCUGUGGUGUAAGAGAUGGCACCAGGAUGCACUAUGGGUAGAAGGCAAGCCGGCAGAGGCAGUUGUUCUGCUGGGAAACCUCGGGUCCUGGCAUUCAUGUGGAUGUUACGUUGACACAUAGUACCUACCUAAACACUGUUGCAGUGUUUUACUGCAAGUACACCCAAGUACCAAGUACACCCCUUCAUGGUAAUGGUAUUCCCUAAUAGCAGUGGCCUCUUUCAGCAGGAUAAUGCUCCCUGCCACACUGCAUAAAUUCUUCAGGAAUGGUUUGAGGAAUAUGACAAAGAGUUCAAGGUGUUGACUCGGCCUACAAACUCCCCAGAUCUCAAUCCGAUCGAGCAUCUGUGGGAUGUGCUGGUCCAAUCCACAGAGGUCCAUCUCACAACUUACA